RNAcentral lists this ribosomal RNA (466 nucleotides) under uncultured bacterium. Its description in RNAcentral is "partial 16S ribosomal RNA". It matches the Rfam family "Bacterial small subunit ribosomal RNA", at positions 28 to 507 of the family's 1533-position model. The record is from RNAcentral.
GACGAACGCUGGCGGCGCGCCUAACACAUGCAAGUCGAACGAGCGAGAGAGAGCUUGCUUUCUUGAGCGAGUGGCGAACGGGUGAGUAACGCGUGAGGAACCUGCCUCAAAGAGGGGGACAACAGUUGGAAACGACUGCUAAUACCGCAUAAGCCCACGGUGCCGCAUGGCACAGAGGGAAAAGGAGCAAUCCGCUUUGAGAUGGCCUCGCGUCCGAUUAGCUAGUUGGUGAGGUAACGGCCCACCAAGGCGACGAUCGGUAGCCGGACUGAGAGGUUGAACGGCCACAUUGGGACUGAGACACGGCCCAGACUCCUACGGGAGGCAGCAGUGGGGAAUAUUGCACAAUGGGGGAGACCCUGAUGCAGCGACGCCGCGUGGAGGAAGAAGGUCUUCGGAUUGUAAACUCCUGUUGUUGGGGAAGAUAAUGACGGUACCCAACAAGGAAGUGACGGCUAACUAUGUG